AUGACCCUACAAGAUAAUGACAUCCGUCAGACGGAGAGAAAGCGAGCAAGUUCGAGGAAAAGUACAGGAUUUUUGACAGUCGAGGGAUUUGCGUGGUUGCUUCUUAUUUUACAGAUGGAAGGCAAGAAGAGAAAGGAGAAGAAGAAGCGGAUUCUGGAAGGUGAUGCAUCAAAGUGCUCGAAAGUUGGUGGUGGGCCGGUGCGGUCAGAAUUUUCCCGGUGGAUUUUGGUGCCCCACUCCGCCCCUGUUGUGAAAACAAAAGUCAGGAGCAGUGCUGCAGAGAGUGACAUCCCAUAAUAACCACCACACUGAAGGAUAGAAGCAGAAGAAGACGCAGAAGACAAGAAGAAGAAGUAGAAGAAGACGCAGAAGAAGUAGAAGAAGAAGAAGAAGAAGUAGAAGAAGAAAUCUUUGGUUGACCGACAACUGACAGGUUUUUAUCACUGACUCACACAAUUAGCAUCAGUUAGCAUGUUGUGGAUGUUAGCAGCAGCUAAUCUCUGCCUCUGUGUUUGUCAUUCUAACACGUCAGAGCCACAAUCAACACGGCUGAGAAUAACAAGCUGCGGCUGAAUGUUUUGUGUUCUGACGUUCGUUAAUAGGACAGAUUCAUUAGUGUGAGUUUGUCGACUCUCAGGUGUCAGAACAGAGUCAAUUAAAAGUGUCUGUCACACUCACACAGUCACAUGUAGACCUCAGCACCACGAUGCCACUGUGACAGACACACUGCACCAUCACCAACACACACUGUGAGGAGGAGGAGGAGGAGGCGGGA
Molecule: long non-coding RNA, 775 nt
Filed under: Sparus aurata (gilthead seabream)
Lineage: Eukaryota; Metazoa; Chordata; Actinopteri; Spariformes; Sparidae
Description: lncRNA (ENSSAUG00010024572.1)
Source: RNAcentral